RNAcentral lists this ribosomal RNA (253 nucleotides) under uncultured bacterium. RNAcentral describes it as "partial 16S ribosomal RNA". It matches the Rfam family "Bacterial small subunit ribosomal RNA", at positions 524 to 776 of the family's 1533-position model. The record is from RNAcentral.
UACGUAGGGUGCGAGCGUUGUCCGGAAUUAUUGGGCGUAAAGAGCUCGUAGGCGGCCUGUCGCGUCGGAUGUGAAAACUCGGGGCUUAACCCCGAGCCUGCAUUCGAUACGGGCAGGCUAGAGUUCGGCAGGGGAGACUGGAAUUCCUGGUGUAGCGGUGAAAUGCGUUGAUAUCAUCAGGAACACCGGUGGCGAAAGCGGCUUACUGGGUCUCUUCUGACGCUGAGGUACGAAAGCUAGGGGAGCGAACGGG